Parasteatoda tepidariorum (common house spider) is the source of this 818-nucleotide non-coding RNA. The record is from RefSeq and is a predicted model, not a curated record. NCBI's taxonomy places the organism in Eukaryota, Metazoa, Arthropoda, Arachnida, Araneae, Theridiidae.
CAUAAUUUUUGUACUGCGUAUAUAAAUGUUUAAUUUUAUUGUAUGUAAAAAUCUAUUUCAAAGGAAAAAAGUAUGCUGUUGUGAUUUUCACAGAAAGUGACACUGUCGAAGUCAUACCGACUAAGUGGUUAUUGAGCAAAGAUGUGGCAAAGUGACCUAGCAAGUUGCCCACUUAUCAAAUUACUAAGUAUCUGCGGGACAACUUGCCUGCAGAUGACCAAUGGGAGAAUUUUAAAGUUAAAGUUCUUUGCUCUUCCAGUUCUUUUAAAAGUGCCCACAUUGAAGCUCAAGAAGCACAACAAACAUCAAAUCUUGAGUCAUCUGCAACUGAAGAUGAUGCAACUAAUACAAAAAGGAAACGGCAAAUACCUCUACGAUUUAAGCAUGAUCCUAGCACAGAUGAUGAUCUUGAAAAUUGUUUAAAUUUUAAGAAAUCUCCCAGAAAGAAAAGGUUUAAGGUACCCACCCUUCCCUCCUCAAGUUGUCACUUUGUAUAGUCACCACUGAAGUCCCCGGCUGUUGUGCAGUCAUCCCAAAGCUAUUCGGAAUCUAUGUUGGCAGGCAGUGACAUUGCAGUUACUCUCAAUGAGGUCCCACCAAUUCCCAUUGAGUUUGAUGAAGUUCCACAGACUUCAAGCCAGAAAUGUUUCCAGCAAUGCCAGAGCAGAAUAAUUUGUAUCCAGAAACCUCUGUUACAGUUACAGUGCCUGAAAUUACCGAUGUUGUUGAAGCCAGUGCUGCCUCAUUAUUUGGAAUGAGUGAGUUGUUAUUAAUUAUUUCUAUCCUUAUUUAUUGAUAAUGAUUUAAUAAAAGUUGUU